GCGUUUUCGCUCUCUCUCUUCAUCCUCGUCGUCCUCCUCCUCAUCCCGAGACUUGAGCACAGAUUGCGGAAUUGGGGGCCUGAACUGAACGACCCUUUUGGGUUUAGGGUGAGAAGAAGGUGGGUCUGUGAGGGUUUGUGAUUUGGAGGUUGGAGGUGGAAGAGAAGAAAAGAUGGAGGACUUAGGUUGAGGAAGAGAAGAGAAGAAGGGGGUUUUGGAGGCAGAAUCUGAGGCAUUGCUUGUAGAUUUUGAGGUGGGUUUAGGGAGAAAUAGGCCCUUUUGCUGUUGUUUUGCCUCUUGUU
RNAcentral lists this long non-coding RNA (302 nucleotides) under Vitis vinifera (wine grape). RNAcentral describes it as "long non-coding RNA (VVIN_LNC003578)". Lineage: Eukaryota; Viridiplantae; Streptophyta; Magnoliopsida; Vitales; Vitaceae. The record is from RNAcentral.